Molecule: long non-coding RNA, 338 nt
Filed under: Capsicum annuum
Lineage: Eukaryota; Viridiplantae; Streptophyta; Magnoliopsida; Solanales; Solanaceae
Description: long non-coding RNA (CANN_LNC015022)
Source: RNAcentral
AUUGAUAAGGCAAACGCCAUUAUUACAGACGUGAGCUUUGCGAAGUUGAUAAUCAAUUCGCAUUUUCUCACCUGUGGCCGAAUAUAGUCGUGAGGUACUCUUCUGGAGAUAUCGAGUGGGUAUGAGGCCUUUGACAAUACAGUUAGUGUCUGCCCCGGUGUCAAAAAGAGCGACUUUGUUUAUGACAAAGUCUUUGUCAAUGACGAUGUUAACGACUAUGUGUUCGCUGUAGGCCUUGAUGGCGGCUACAGUUGUAGAGGUAGAAGGAACCGCCGGAACUUCUUCUCCGGGGAAAGAAGUGGGUUCUUGGAGAUGAUCAGUCGGAAUGCUGAUCGGAG